Molecule: non-coding RNA, 495 nt
Organism: Pelobates cultripes (western spadefoot toad)
Lineage: Eukaryota; Metazoa; Chordata; Amphibia; Anura; Pelobatidae
Source: the annotation of a GenBank genome assembly
GAGACACUAGGGGACACAGACACUAGGGGACACUGAGACACUAGGACACUCGGGACACAGACACUGGGAGACACUCGGGGACACUGGAAAACAUGGGGACACUGAGACACUAGGACACAUGGGGACACAGACAGUGGGAGACACUCAGGGACACUGGAAAACAUGGGGACACUGAGACACUAGGACACAUGGGGAUGCUGAGACACAUGGGGACAUUGUGAGACAUAGGGACAUUGGGAGACACUGAGACAUUGGGACACAGAGACACUCUGUCACCAAGUCUUCCAAUGUCUGUGUCCCAUGUCUCUCAGUGUGCCUAGUGUCCCCAUGUGUCCCAGUGUCCCUAUAUGUCCACAACUGUCCCCAUGUCUCCCAGUGUCCCCAAGUGUCUGUCUUCCAGCCAGUGUCCCCUAGUCUCCCAGUGUCCCCUAGUCUCCCAGUGUCUGUGUUCCCAUGUCUCUGUGUCACUAGUGUCUUAGUGUCCUCAAAUGUUUC